CAGCAGCCACGGUAAUACGAAGGGUGCAAGCGUUAAUCGGAAUUACUGGGCGUAAAGCGUGCGUAGGCGGUUUGUUAAGUCUGUUGUGAAAUCCCCGGGCUCAACCUGGGAAUGGCAAUGGAUACUGGCAAGCUAGAGUGUGUCAGAGGAUGGUGGAAUUCCCGGUGUAGCGGUGAAAUGCGUAGAGAUCGGGAGGAACAUCAGUGGCGAAGGCGGCCAUCUGGGACAACACUGACACUGAGGCACGAAAGCGUGGGGAGCAAACAGGAUUAGAUACCCCCGUAGUCCCUGUCUCUUAUAC
Molecule: ribosomal RNA, 301 nt
Filed under: uncultured bacterium
Lineage: Bacteria
Description: partial 16S ribosomal RNA
Rfam family: Bacterial small subunit ribosomal RNA
Source: RNAcentral